GGUAAUAUCCGGCUAAUCCUAAAAAGCUUCGAAUCUCCGUGGGACUUUUCGGUUGUUCCCACUUCGUCACAGCUUCGAUCUUCGCUGGAUCAACCAUUAUCCCUUCUUGGUUGACCACGUGACCCAAGAAUUGGACCUCACGAAUCCAAAAAUCACAUUUGGAGAACUUCGCAUAAAGCUUCUCCUUCUUCAAAACUUCUAACACUUCUCGCAAGUGUCUGCCAUGCUCCUCCUGGCUUUUCGAGUAGAUCAGAAUGUCGUCUAUGAACACUAUCACGGAUUUAUCAAGGAAAGGAUUACAAACCCUAUUCAUCAAAUCCAUGAACGCUGCUGGAGCAUUGGUUAGUCCAAACGACAUAACCAAGAACUCGUAGUGUCCAUAUCUAGUUCUGAAUGCAGUCUUCUCGAUAUCUUGCUCUCUUACUUUCAGCUGAUGAUAUCCUGACCUAAGAUCGAUCUUCGAGAAAUAGCUCGAACCUUGCAAUUGAUCAAACAGGUCAUCAAUCCUCGGCAACGGAUAUCUAUUCUUUAUUGUUGCCUUGUUCAGCUCUCUGUAAUCGAUGCACAUUCUCAUACUUCCAUCUUUCUUCUUUACAAAUAACACCGGAGCUCCCCAGGGCGAUGAACUAGGUCUAAUGAAACCUUUGUCCAAUAACUCCUGAAGUUGCAUCAUCAGCUCCUUCAUCUCCGUCGGUGCUAAUCGAUAAGGUGCUUUUGCUAUUGGCGUGGUUCCUGGUAACAAGUCUAUUCUGAACUCCACUUGUCUAUCAGGUGGUAAUCCAGGAAGAUCCUCGGGAAAUACUUCCGGAUAAUCACACACCACUGGAAUGCUCUGCAUCACCUUCUUUUCUUUCUUAGCAUCAAUCACGAAUGCUAAAUAUGAUGUACAUCCCUUGGUCAAACACUUUCUGGCUUUCAUUAGAGAAAUGAUUCCAGAAUUCACUCUGCGUUUGUCCCCAUACACCAUAAACGAAUCUUUCCCAGGCGGGUUUACUUUAACUAUCUUCUUCUUGCACAAAAUUUCGGCAUCAUUGGCGCUAAGCCAAUCCAUUCCCAAGACGAUGUCGAAACCAUUUAGUUCGAUAGGCAAUAAUUCCUCGAGAAACUUAUUCCCAUUAAGGUCGAUCAAGACGUUUUUCAUACGAUGGCUAACAGGUACAAACUUGCCACUAGCUACUUCGACUAAUAAAGCAUUAUCUAGUCUAUCAACAGGCAAAGCUAGCUUUCUACCAAACUCAUGCGAAAUAAAGGAGUAGUUGGCUCCAGAAUCAAACAAUAUAUGAGCAGGUAAUUCGUUUACGAGAAAGGUACCUGAAGCGACAUCAGCUUCAUCUUUCGCAGCCUCAAGUGUCAUCUGGAAGGCUCUCGCCUUCGGCUUUGGUGGAAUGUUGGGCCUAGCUGCCUCCUUCUUCUUCGGACAGUCUUUCAAAAUAUGCCCCUCUUCAUUACACCCAAAACACAUCCUUUUGUUGUUCGGACAUUCAUUGGCAAAAUGUCCAACCUUUCCACACUUGUAGCAGGUCACAUCCUCGCUACAUUUCCCAAAGUGCUUUUUCUUACACUUAUCACACCACUUUGCUUCGCCUCCUUUUCCUCCAAACUUUUUCGAAUCAGAUUUCGAAAAUUUGCUCUUCUUACUGGAACCAGAUGUUCCUUCAAACUUCCUUUUCUCACCAACCUCAACCUUGACGGUGGUUCUCCCCUUGAUCAUGUUCUCCACAGACUUGGCAGCCCAGAUAGCUGCCUCUAGAGUAAGUGCCUGACGUACCGGCACCUCGUACUCCCAUGGAAGUCCCUUCGCAUACCGAUCCACCUUUGUCAGCUCGUCUGGAACGAUACGCAAGGCAAACUCCAUCUUAUCGGUGAAGUUAUUGGUGUACUCAUCCACUGACAUGCUACCCUUCGUCAAUGUCAAAAACUUGUUCUCCAACUCCAACAGAUUUUGAGCCGAGCAGAACUUGCGCUUGAACUGCACCAAGAACUCUGCCCAUGACAAUUGCAGUGGCUCAUUAGGGCUUAAGGUCUUCCCUAGAGUGUUCCACCAACGAACGGCUCCACCUCGGAAUUGUCGCACGGCAUAGAUAGUCUGCAACUUGCCUCUACAGCCACAUGUCAUAAAGGCUAACUCCAUUUCGGAGAUCCAAUCCAUAACCCCAAUCGGAUCCUCCUUUCCAUUGAAGGUCGAUGGUUUACAAGUCAAAAAGUCCUUGUACUUGCAUCCCAUUCCAUCAUUCCUUCCAUCAUGGUUAUCUUGCCUAACUAUCGGUGGGUUGGCUGGACCAACAGACCCACUGAAGUUUCCACCUUCCGAGUGCCCUUCAUUCAGUUCAGGCUCUUCCACACGAAUCGACAGUUCUUCACGAUUUUGUUGAAGCAACCGUCUAGUUUCAUCCAUCUGACGAUCCAACAUCGUCUGAAUCAUCAAUUGCACACCAGCCAUGGUUAUUGGCUCAGGUGCUGCUGCUACGACAGGUAUUGGCUCAAUCACUGGUGGUUGAUUCCUGUUUUCGUCAGCAUUUCCAACUCCACUUCUUGUUCUCACCAUUUUGAUCUACACCGAAUAAGGUGAAAUUAGAUCCUCAAUCAUGAUAGAUAUUCAAAUCAUCCUUAUCACUCCGAAACGUUUACAUGCUAGUUCUAAUAUCGUAGACGUACGCUUAGAAUCCUACACACAUAAGGUUUCUAGAUCCGGUCGGCAACAGACCAUAGAUCCGAACAAAUAAUAUCAUAUAUGGCAACAUAUAACAUUUAGCACAUAAAGCAUUUUAGGCAACUUUCCUAAAAUAAACUAGUGCUCGUGUCUAAAUCACAACAGACACACAUCUCAAAACUUCACUUAGCAUUCUAAGUUUAAGUCUAGAAAUCCUACAAAUUCCUAGUUCGCUUAAACUAAUGCUCUGAUACCAACUGUGACAUCCCCAAAAUCUCGGCCAGAAAAGACCGAUUUUCAUUUAUGCUUUUAAAUAUUUUCAGAGUAAAUCCUUUUGAUUUGAAAGAGUUGCGGAAUUUGUUCCCAAAAACAAAACAUGAUAAAACAUUGUUUACCGAAGCAUUUCAUAAAAGAAAUGUAUUUUCAUUAUAAUCAAAACUCGGGGUGUCAUGUUCCGAUACAGACCAAUAAGCAUAAACGAAUACAUUACAAGUCAUAUAACAAAUAUAAACAUAUGCAGACUUGUAAACAAAACAACUUGAUGGUUCAUCCAUCUCAUGCCCUUCCGCCACUACCUGUAAUACAAUUUAAAACUGAGUGGGUCAGGCUUGGGAGCCUGGUGAGCAUAUAGGGUUUUCAACCCACAAUAAAUAUCAUAUUUAAUUUUCACCAACCAACAAUAACCCAAUUACCCAUUCCCGUUAUUCUCACUUUAAUGUCCCUAAAACAACUAACAUAAGGGACCUAGUCUAAGAAUAUUUCAUCGGGGCGACAACACAUGCUUCGGGGGUACCUCAGCAAUAUAAGUCAAAUAAGGCAACCAUGAGGGGGAUGGAGUACAGCGAAUGAACACCCAAGUUCAUUAACACCUACAGGUGGCGAACCUGCUAAUGUUUCCACAAGACUGUCUAGAAUAGCCAGUGGUCGUCAUCUAAACUCCGCUAGAUGACUCAAUCAAACAACAACGAGGCCUCUCAUCUGUUUAUUACACACCAACUGUCUACCCAUGUUCUACCCAACAUAUUAGUAGAUAAAAAUAUACAUUUGUAUACAUAGUUUAAAGAAAACCUGUAUAGCAUGCUUUAAUCAACACAUAUAUCACAUAACAGAUGAGGCACACACACACAUAACACAUAUCUCAUAAAGAAAUAAGCAGAUCUAUAAGAUAGAAGAGAGUGAAUACUCAUUCACACAUAACACAACCAAAUAUAUACACAUAGCACGUAUUUUUAUAUAAAAUACUUCGUAUUAUUGUAUUAGAAGAAAUAACUACACACUCACUUGAUCAGAAGAUGAUCGGACAGCACUACGGCUUAUAGAAGUAGUAAUCCACAGCAGAUCUGGAAGAUCUUCUCGAAAAUCGAACUUCUCGCGGGCAGAGCUUCGACUCGGGAACCGCACUUUUCGGGAUCUUCAGGAUCUCGGGACUUGCCUCGGGGCUAGAGUAUGAUACCGGGACUUCGGGGUAGCUUCGGGGGUUUUUGCACAGAGCUUCGACACGAAAACGAGAGGGAAUUGGCAAAAAUACCCGGAACCCUCGCAUCCUAUUUAUAGGAGGCUGGAGCCUCGGAGUACGCGGGGCGUACUGCGUUACGCGGGGCGUACUGCCCAAAACGUCAUUGCUUACGUAUCCGAAGUGCUCGAGUGCGAGUGUCGACAUCCCUCGGAGUACGCGGGGCGUACUCGAGUACGCGGGGCGUACCUCGGAUCAGAUCGGUGACUCCUUCGGAUAAUGCUUCCGAAUUUUGAAUUAAAAAUAAAUACAAAAUGAUUAAUAAACUUCGGAAAUUCAUAACUUCUUCAUACGAACUCCGUUUUCGACGUUCUUUAUAUCCACGCGAAGGUGAGACCACGCUCUACGACUUUCGUUUAGACUCCGUCGGCUAAUUUUGACUUUAUUUUUAUUAAUUAUUUUUAAUAGGCCGGGACAGAAACUUUCGUUAUAAAUUCAUAACUUCUUCGUUUGACGUCCGUUCUCGCCUAACUUUUUAUCGUUUCAAUACCAACAAUGAGAUCUUCGAUUCUCAUUUAGAUUGCUUCGGCUAACAACCGCUCGAUCUCAAAUCGAGUAAAACAGGCUGUAUAUCGCUAAGCCGGAACUUCGAUAAAUCAUAACUUCCUCAUACGAAGUCAGAUUUGGGCGUUCUAUAUAUAUUCGGAAACCUCGUUUCAACUACUACAACAUUAACCAAAGAUAUUAAGUUUAUUUUACACUUAAAUUUUGACGCUUAUUUUUAUUCUUAAUUAAUCAAACCACAUAAUUAAGCAAUUAAGCACAAAACACAUAAUACUCAAAUAAUACAAUCUUAUUAUUUCAAAACGGGUUACAAAGGUUAACCUAGACUAUUACAUUGCUAAAAAUGGCAAGCCCGGAAACACAGGCGUUACAAUUCUCUCCACCUUAGAAUGAUUCCGUCCCCGGAAUCACACAUCAACAAACAAAUGCGGAUAGCGACUCAACAUGUCACUCUCCGUCUCCCAGGUGAGAUUCGGCCCAUUCGUGUGUUUCCAUCGGACAAGCACUAACCCAACCAUUUUGCGUCGCAACUUCUUAGUCUUUCGGUCAACAAUUGCCUCUGGUUCUUCAAUCAACCUUUUGUUCUCAUCAAUUCUCAAUUCAGAAAUUGGAAUUAUAUCGGGAACUUCUCCCGUGAACUUCCUCAAAUAACACACAUGAAAGGUGUUGUGAAUUCCAUUCAGUUCUUCGGGUAAUUCGAGCUUGUAAGCUUGAUUCCCAAUCCUCUGAAGGACUUUAAACGGUCCAAUAAACCUUGGACUCAACUUUCCCCUUUUACCAAAUCUUAUAAGUCCCUUCCACGGCGAGACUUUAAGCAAAACCGAAUCUCCAACCUCAAAAGUCAUCGGUCUUCGCUUCUUGUCAGCAUAGCUCUUUUGACGAUCUUGAGCUGCUAACAUUCUUUCCCUAAUUAUUUUCAACUUUUCAGCAGUUUGAUGAACCAUCUCCGGUCCCAUAAACUGCUUUUCCCCAGCCUCAAGCCAACAAGACGGCGUACGACACUUCUGUCCAUACAAAGCUUGAUAAGGUGCCAUCUUAAUGCUCGAGUGAAAACUAUUAUUAUAGGAAAAUUCUACCAACGGUAAAUGUUCAUCCCAAUUACCUAGGAAUUCCAAGGUACAUGCUCUCAGCAUAUCUUCAAGUGUUUGUAUUGUUCUUUCACUCUGACCAUCAGUCUGCGGAUGGUAAGCUGUGCUUAAACAUAACUUGGUACCCAUUUCCUCUUGUAGACUUUUCCAAAACCUUGAGGUGAAACGGCUAUCACGAUCCGAUACAAUCGUUAACGGAACACCGUGAAGCCUCACAAUUUCCUUCACGUAAGAAUUCGCAAGCUUUUCCAUAGACCAUUUCUCCCUGGCCGCUAUGAAAUGCGCACUCUUAGUGAAUCGAUCAACGACCACCCAAAUCAUGUCGUGACCAUUCUUUGUUCUGGGCAGUUUAGUGACAAAAUCCAUAGCAAUGUCUUCCCACUUACCCAUAGGCACAGGCAAUGGUUCUAAACUCCCGUAAGGUUUCUGAUGUUGUGUCUUGACUCUCGCACAAGUCACACACUCGGCCACAUACUUUGCAACAUCAAGCUUCAUCGUCGGCCACCAGUAGUAGGGUUUCAGGUCCCUAUACAUUUUAGUGCUACCCGGAUGAAUUGAGUACAUGGUUUUGUGAGCUUCUUCCAUCAGAAGAUCCCUAAUUCCUCCUGACUUAGGUACCCAAAUACGAUCUUGGAAUACCUUCAGUCCAUGACCGUUAGUACCAAACACCAACGUUUUACCCAAACGUUCCUCCUUUCGGUCAUUUUUCUCAGAAGCUUCCUCUUGAGCUUUCUUUAUACUUUCCACAAUGGUCGAGACAACUUCAAUUCUCAACGCUCUUGGCCUCUUCCUUUCAAGAUUGACCUUCCGACUGAGAGCAUCAGCAACAACAUUAGCUUUACCGGGGUGGUAAAGUAUCUCGCAGUCGUAGUCUUUAAGUAAUUCUAGCCAGCGUCGUUGCCUCAUAUUCAAUUCUUUCUGAUUAAAGAGGUAUUGGAGACUCUUAUGAUCAGUGAAAAGUUUGCACUUCGUGCCAUAGAGGUAAUGCCUCCAUAUUUUCAGAGCGAAAACUACCGCUGCCAACUCCAAAUCAUGAGUCGGGUAAUUCUUUUCAUGCUCUUUCAGCUGUCGAGACGCAUAUGCUAUCACCUUUUCUCUUUGGGUCAAAACACAACCCAAUCCAACACCAGACGCAUCGCUAUAAACAGCGAAGUCUUCAACUCCAUCGGGUAGAGAAAGUAUCGGUGCCUCGCAUAGCUUCUUCUUUAACUUCUCGAAUGCUUCUUUAUGCUUCUCACUCCAAGCAUAAGUAGCUCCUUUGUGGGUCAAAGCUGUUAAUGGAGUAGCAAUCGAAGAAAAGCCUUGGAUAAACCUUCGGUAAUAUCCGGCUAAUCCUAAAAAGCUUCGAAUCUCCGUGGGACUUUUCGGUUGUUCCCACUUCGUCACAGCUUCGAUCUUCGCUGGAUCAACCAUUAUCCCUUCUUGGUUGACCACGUGACCCAAGAAUUGGACCUCACGAAUCCAAAAAUCACAUUUGGAGAACUUCGCAUAAAGCUUCUCCUUCUUCAAAACUUCUAACACUUCUCGCAAGUGCCUGCCAUGCUCCUCCUGGCUUUUCGAGUAAAUCAGAAUGUCGUCUAUAAACACUAUCACGGAUUUAUCAAGGAAAGGAUUACAAACCCUAUUCAUCAAAUCCAUGAACGCUGCUGGAGCAUUAGUUAGUCCAAACGACAUAACCAAGAACUCGUAGUGUCCAUAUCUAGUUCUGAACGCAGUCUUCUCGAUAUCUUGCUCUCUUACUUUUAGCUGAUGAUAUCCUGACCUAAGAUCGAUCUUCGAGAAAUAGCUCGAACCUUGCAAUUGAUCAAACAGGUCAUCAAUCCUCGGCAACGGAUAUCUAUUCUUUAUUGUUGCCUUGUUCAGCUCUCUGUAAUCGAUGCACAUUCUCAUACUUCCAUCUUUCUUCUUUACAAAUAACACCGGAGCUCCCCAGGGCGAUGAACUGGGUCUAAUGAAACCUUUGUCCAACAACUCCUGAAGUUGCAUCAUCAGCUCCUUCAUCUCCGUCGGUGCUAAUCGAUAAGGUGCUUUUGCUAUUGGCGUGGUUCCUGGUAACAAGUCUAUUCUGAACUCCACUUGUCUAUCAGGUGGUAAUCCAGGAAGAUCCUCGGGGAACACUUCCGGAAAAUCACACACCACUGGAAUGCUCUGCAUCACCUUCUUUUCCUUCUU
This 7927-nucleotide long non-coding RNA is filed under the name Lactuca sativa (garden lettuce). RNAcentral's name for it is "long non-coding RNA (LSAT_LNC002372)". The record is from RNAcentral. Lineage: Eukaryota; Viridiplantae; Streptophyta; Magnoliopsida; Asterales; Asteraceae.